This 465-nucleotide ribosomal RNA is filed under the name uncultured bacterium. Its description in RNAcentral is "partial 16S ribosomal RNA". It matches the Rfam family "Bacterial small subunit ribosomal RNA", at positions 28 to 507 of the family's 1533-position model. The record is from RNAcentral.
GACGAACGCUGGCGGCGUGCUUAACACAUGCCAGUCGAACGCUGAACCCGCUUCGGUGGGGGAUGAGUGGCGAACGGGUGAGUAACGCGUGGGCAACCUGCCCCCGGCUCUGGGAUAACUCCAAGAAAUUGGGGCUAAUACCGGAUGUGACCGCUGGCCGCAUGGUCUGGUGGUGGAAAGGGUUUCCGGCUGGGGAUGGGCCCGCGGCCUAUCAGCUUGUUGGUGGGGUAGUGGCCUACCAAGGCGACGACGGGUAGCCGGCCUGAGAGGGUGACCGACCACACUGGGACUGAGACACGGCCCAGACUCCUACGGGAGGCAGCAGUGGGGAAUAUUGCGCAAUGGGCGGAAGCCUGACGCAGCGACGCCGCGUGGGGGAUGACGGCCUUCGGGUUGUAAACCUCUUUCAGCAGGGACGAAGCGCAAGUGACGGUACCUGCAGAAGAAGCACCGGCCAACUACGUG